Pongo abelii (Sumatran orangutan) is the source of this 148-nucleotide unclassified non-coding RNA. It matches the Rfam family "Metazoan signal recognition particle RNA". Rfam says of the family: The signal recognition particle (SRP) is a universally conserved ribonucleoprotein. It is involved in the co-translational targeting of proteins to membranes. Lineage: Eukaryota; Metazoa; Chordata; Mammalia; Primates; Hominidae. The record is from Ensembl.
GCUGGGCAUGGUAGCGGGCGCCUGUAAUCCCAGCUACUUGGGAGGCUGAGGCAGGAGAAUUGCUUGAGCCCGGGAGGCAGAGGUUGCAGUGUGCCGAGAUUGCACCACUGCACUCCUGCCUGGACAACAGAGUGAGACUCUGUCUCAA